RNAcentral lists this ribosomal RNA (289 nucleotides) under uncultured Tsukamurella sp. Its description in RNAcentral is "partial 16S ribosomal RNA". Lineage: Bacteria; Bacillati; Actinomycetota; Actinomycetes; Mycobacteriales; Tsukamurellaceae. The record is from RNAcentral.
CUACUGGGGUAUCUAAUCCUGUUCGCUACCCACGCUUUCGCUCCUCAGCGUCAGUUACUGCCCAGAGACCCGCCUUCGCCACCGGUGUUCCUCCUGAUAUCUGCGCAUUCCACCGCUACACCAGGAAUUCCAGUCUCCCCUACAGUACUCAAGUCUGCCCGUAUCGCCUGCAGGCCCGAGGUUAAGCCUCGGGUUUUCACAGACGACGUGACAAACCGCCUACGAGCUCUUUACGCCCAGUGAAUCCGGACAACGCUCGCACCCUACGUAUUACCGCGGCUGCUGGCAC